UCUCUCACAAAAACCUGUGGUUUGAAACCUACCAAAGCCAGACAGCUAUGUAAAGCUUGUCUUGUGAGCACGUGAGCAUGUGAGAAAAGUGAAAAUCGGAGCACAAAGAAAAGAGUAAAUUGAAUCAUUCCUCCCAAAGCAAUAUUAACUUCAGCAUGUUACAAUAGUAAGCAAUGUUUACAUUAGUUCAAUACCUAAUUCCAUUAGCUACAGUUACACUGGUCCAUUCUGAGGGGUGCUGGGGGAUUUUCCCAGAUAGAGCACUGCUGUCAUCCCUUCCCCUAUUGCCUUGGCAGCACAUGUUUGAGUUUAAGAUCAACUCUGUUGUUCAUGGGCUGCCCCAUGGAUCAGAGGCUGAUGAGGAUGCUGGUGCAGGACAGUAGCCCCCGCACACAUCCAACAGGCAUGACCAGAACUGUGUGACCAACAAAGUGCUCAUUGCUGCUGUCAGCUCCAGCAUCAACCGGCACACAAAGCUUAAAGGGUUCUUUGACAGGCCUCAGAUCAUACUGAAAUCCUUUCACUUAGCUCUGCUUUGCCCCUGUCCUGCUGCUGCUGAAGUCCAUAGCACAAGUGCUCUGCCCUCAGUUGUGCUGGAGUAUGUGUCCUGCUUGGUCAAAAAAAGGAGUAAGCUGUGAUGGUGCAUAAAAGGCAAGUGGAAAGAGGCGCUUCUGUGACCUACUCAUGGGAAGAGGCAGGCAUCAUCUGGAUGCUUCAGAGGAUCAUCUUGGGAGAUGAUAACUCUUUUCCUACCAUCAGUCAAUGUCUGUAACCACCUGCUUUUGGAGGAAAAUGCCAGGAUGAUGUCACCCGAAGGCCGUAGCAGCUAUUUUGAGACUAGGAAAAAGUUGACUUGGAAGACUUGCUCCUCUUGCUGUGCAGGCACUGAGCCAAGAAGAGCUGGAUGCAGACGGAGCCCAGCUGAAGCCAGAGCAGCUCAUCAAGCUGAAAGUCUAUUAUUCACCCUGCUCUGGUUGCCUAUAGCAUCUGGAUGCUAUCAGCAUGGACAGCAGAGCAGCCCUGUCACAGAGGAUUAAUGGCAGAGUGUGGUGUUGCUUCUGGAACAGUAAUGUCAUACCAUAUGAAUAAACACCGAAAUUGGGAUAAUUUUUCUAAAUGUUUCAGCAUUCUAAGUACAAGGUAAUAACCCUGUCAGGAACAAUAUUCACUGCUGUCUCAUCUGGCUGUGCUGGAAUUAGUGGCAGUCUCUGGGGAAGAACACAGGUACGUCAGUGUUGGAAACACAGCAUGUGGUUGUAUUAGAGCAGAAAGCAAACAAAUCUCUUGGUCACAGUACAGGGAGAGAAACUUAAUACUGCUUGGAAAAUCAGCACUGCUUUGAAUAUAGCAUUUUUCUUGGUUCCCUCAUGAGAAGGAUAAUGCAAAAAUGGGGGAUAGAUGUACAGAUGUAUAUUUAUUAGUAUAUCAGAGAAAAUGUGUUGUAGAAUUCAGCAGAAGAUGAAAACCAGAGUCUGUGAAAUCAAGAAUUAGGGCAGGAACAAACAGCGGACAGUGAGGAAAGUCUUACUGAGUACUCUCUGCCUUAAUACAAAAUCAAGGAGGAGCAAAGCCUUGAUGAAGGAUGAGACUUCACCUCAAAAAAAAAAAAAAAAAAUAGAAAUAAUUCUGAGGCAUUACAGGGGUGAGGGGAGGCUGCUCAGCCAUUUUUCUGAUUUGUUAAACAAUUUGCCUCGAGGUUUCCAUGAGUGUUCAUUUUUAGAGGCGCCAGCCAAAAGACGUUUGAUGCUGAAAAAACUAAAAAAAUCUAGCUCUUCCUAGCUGCCCCAAAGUCAUUGCUUAGAGCAUUUAAAUUUUGGAAAUGUCAGGUUGAGACACUUGCAUAGAAAAAAUAAAUGCACAAUUACA
Long non-coding RNA from Corvus hawaiiensis (hawaiian crow), 1866 nucleotides. RefSeq lists it as uncharacterized. The record is from RefSeq and is a predicted model, not a curated record. NCBI's taxonomy places the organism in Eukaryota, Metazoa, Chordata, Aves, Passeriformes, Corvidae. The transcript is spliced from 6 exons.